Molecule: long non-coding RNA, 9563 nt
Organism: Homo sapiens (human)
Lineage: Eukaryota; Metazoa; Chordata; Mammalia; Primates; Hominidae
Exons: 3
Source: RefSeq, a predicted model, not a curated record
AGAGAAAGAAGCGGCUGUCACAAAGGCCAGACCCAAAUGCCAUGUUAAGAGAUGGAUGAAGACUAGGAACUGUAGAGAAGGGUAGAACCAGUGUUAACUUCAGCUGAUGUACAUGCUUCUGCCAAAUAAAACUGCACAGCAGUAAAACAGGCAGAGAAGAAAGAAUCAACAGCAAAGGUAGAACUGGAACCAUGGAAAUCUCCAGGAGAGAGAUGAGGAAACUGAGGUGAAGGAGAAUAUGUAAUUUGCUCAUGGUCCACAGCCUACAUUCUUCAGUAUGUGCAGGGAAGACCUGGUGGGAUCUUCACUAUGGGGCCAAAGCAGGUUGGUUCAGUUUCCAUUUGGAGAGCAUAGGUGGAGUCAGGUGGUUUGAGGGUCAUUUGUGGUGUAUCAGUCAACCAGCAAUGAAUAGUACGUUGUAUUUUCCAGCCUACAGUUUUGUCAUCCUAUGGACAAUUCCUCUCAGAGGAGGAAGAAAAGAGGGGUGAUCAGGGAGAGUGCUCGCACGGGGACAGAAGUGGGUGGAUUUGGAAUUAACGUGAACAGCCGACAUUUCACUUCCAUACAGAACUACACUGGGAUAAUUUUUAAAAAUUAAAAUUAAUAAAAAUUCUAAAACUUUGCAAGGAUAAAUUAAAGGAACUUGGAUAAUUUUGCUACGGGCCAAUGAAGCCAUAAAAUUGGUAGAGUUUGCCAAGAUGUGGAAUAUUUUUUACUUUCUUCCUAAAAGAACUCUAACAUAAAAACCAUCUGGUGUCCAUAUUUCCCAGAUCAAGGCGGGGUCUAGGUAGGAUGAGGCAGUGAAUGGAAGAAGCACUGACCCAGAGGCAGGAGAAUGGGUCUAGGCCCAUCUUGAAGAAAUAAUUUUAUACUUCCAGCCUCGGCUUCCCUUCUGUAAAAUAAACCUGUUGGAUUACCUCCAAAGUCCUUUAAACAGUAAAAUUCUAUUACUCUCUAACAAGUUUGCUCAAAGAACACAUAAGUAUUUUUUAAAUAGUAAAAGGUUAUAGAAAGUUAAUUUUUGAGUUCAUUUUCCCCUGAGUCUGGGCCCUGGCUCCGCCUCUCACCAGCUGCCUCUGCUGCUGUCUACAAAAGCCUGAGGCAGGAACCCACCUCUUUCUUAAAUGGCAGAUGAAAUUGCUCCUCUUGAAUGAAGACAAUCAGUAGCUACAAGGUAAUGGUGAGAGACUGUAUACCUAGGAAAGGUUCCCUCCCAGCAUGGACAGAGAACUAGGAAAAACAUUGGGAGAGUUUAAUACUUCCUUUAAUAAGAAAGGAAGUAUUUUGGAGAAAUCUUGACUGGAAAGCAAAUCUCCCUCUAUCCCUGAAGUCUUUAUCCAGGAACAGUGUUCAAGAAUCUCUGUGUUGCAAAUGUGGAAUGCAGUUUUGGUAUUCUCCUGCCUCGCAUGUAUGUUUCAUCAACAGGCCGGUGACCAGCUCAAAAAGCCUCAAGUGCUGCCCAAUUUCAGGACUGCCUGUCAUUUCUACAACCUAUGACUCUAGUUCAUGCAGCUGAGUUCAGCAUGGCCGUGGCUAAACACUGAGUCCUGACAUUUACAAUCCACCGCUGAGCUUCUUGGGCAAAAUGAGGCCCUUUCUUUUACUCACACGUCAGUUGCUUUGGGGGACUCCCAAGACUGAAUGUUUUCUAUCUGCCAUUUCUCCGCAGCUUGGCUAUUCCCUGCUGUUAUCUUUGGCUCUGUUGCUAUGGGCGGAAUAUUUUUUUGUCCUAGCUUAAUAACUGCUUAGCUGCCAGAGGUGCUCAUUUCUCAUUGUAUUGGUGGAGGAUUAGCGGAGAUGUUUGGGAGAUAUUUCCUGUAUUAAGCAGCAGGGGAGAGCUUGCUGGGCCGAUGCCUUCUUUUGACAUAGCGUCACACUUUUCCUUUUUUCCACUUUCUCUCUUGGAAUGUGCUGAGGCCAGUUAUUUGCAUCCAGAGCGGCAACUCCUCCCUGACACUUCGCAGAUCUCCAUCCCUUUUCCAGGUGCCCUUGCAGAAACACUUCUUGGGGAGGCUGUAGUGAGUCCCAGGCAAUCAUCUCGGUUGGUUUUCUUUCAUAGUUGGGGCUCAGCAGUGUCCUGUAUCACCAACUUACUUUGCAGGCUUAAUUGCCUGGAAACCUAUUCCAUACUUCACAUUUUUUUACAAUUAACUCACCAGCCUUCUAUUAGAGCCACCAUCUCACCCACAAUUAACUUGAAUCGGGUAAUCUGUAUUGCCUGAGAGUAUAAGAUACAAAUUUGCAGCUCUGUCCAGAACUCUAACUGCUCAUAGAUUUUUGGCCCUUGUGUCUGCUUGGGACAAUCCUCAAAAGACUGAGAAAAGCUGUCUAGAAAAAUUAUCAAAGGGAGACAGAAAUCUAUGAAUUUUUGGUUCUUGGUCAGAUUGCGAUAGAGAAGAAUAAAUGCUAACAAUUUCACUGGAAGUCAUUACUAAGAGUUUGGUGAUGUCACAGGGAUGUGACACAGCCUGGCCCGGGUUUGUCUUUUGAGGCCACCUCUUAAAAGCUCUGGGAAUUUUGGUGAGUCACUUUGCCUCUCUUCCCCACAAUUUUCUUGUCUAUAAUAUGGGGAUAGUUCUGACUCAUAAAGUUGUUGUGAGGUGUAAAUUUUGGAAGAUCCUGUAAACUAUAGACAUAAUAUUCUUAGAAUUAGGUGAGAAUGUAUGUGAAAACAUUUGCAAACUGCAAAGAACUGUACAAGUGUUAAUAGCUGUAGGUCCUACAAUGAAAACAUAAUAAAAUUUUUUAUCACACUUCAAAGUGUUGGGAGAACCAUUUUCUCCUUGCAGUGGGUAUUUAUCCUUCUGUUAAAAUACGAUCUUAAUCGCUUCCUAACUUGGAGGAAUCUCUCACUGUUUGAGGCACAGCCCACCUCCUGCCUGCCAGGUGCUGUGUCCCCAACCCAGGGCAUGGAACUAGGGCAUCAUAACCCAGGCUCAGCCAGUCAGAAGCAGAUGCUCAAGGCUUUGUUCCAGAAGCUGGCUGUCCAAAGGAAAGAGACUGCAGCAAGUCCAUUCUGGCUGUAGGAGGAUAGGGUUGACCAUAAUGUCUGGUUUCUGGACACAGAGUUGGUAGCAGAUCUAGAGUGGCAUCUGUCAUUCACUCUGGCAUUCAUCAUUCACUCUGGCCAGCUUGGUUGCUGUGAGCAGUGGGGGGCCAUCGUGCCUUUAGUUCAGUGGGUGAUUUGGGGUGUCAUUCCUGCUGCCUUACCUCCCAGCCUGGCUUUGUUGACAACGCAGAGAUUCCCUAAGCUGCCCCAAAUCCCUUUAUAUAAAACUGUAUUAUGGAAAAUUCCAAACAUACAGAAAAUUGAAAGGAAUAGAAUAAUGAACUCCUGUGUAUCUAUCACCCCAUUCCACAAUUAAUAUUUUGCCAAUUAUUUUACCUGUUUUUUGUCCCCCUCCUCACCUGUUUGGUUUCUUGUUUUCAUUUCUUUUCUUGUCUUGUUUCUUUGGUUUGGUUUGGUUUCUUAUUUUUUGCUUUGUUUUGUUUUUGUUUGUUUGGGGGCAUUUUUUUGUUUGUUUUUGCUGAAAUACUUUAAAGUAAGCCCAAAAUCUCAUGUUAUUUCACCCAUAAAUAUCUCAGUGUGUGUGUGCCUUUCUAACUGAUAAGGACUGUUUUUACCAUAACCAUCAUGCCAUUUUCCACCCACCAGGAUUAACAGUAAUGCUCAGUAUAUCCCAAUAUUCAUUUCUGUUCACAUCAGCAAGAAAUGCUUUCUCUUUCUUAUAAGACCCUGACUUACAUACUUCUCUUAUCCAUAAAAUAGAUACUUCUGCCUCUGAAUGUUUUCAGAAGAGUAACUUCUGCUCCUCUCUCUCCCAACCUUGUGGAGGAGUGACCUGAUGGCUAAAUUGAGAAUAGAACUGCAAUUCAUGGUUCUCUCUCUGUAAGUAACUGUCUGCCCACAAAGCAGCUGUGUUCCACCCGGCUUCAGCUUCCAUGGGCUGAGCACACUGGGUCAGGCCCGAGGCCCACCUUGCAGGCUGAGUCUGGAGGAAAAUCUCUGUCCUUGAGGAGUGUGAGGAAGUGAUUCUGAGUAAACAGAGGUAUUCUCUAAAUUCAAACUGUUCCUUAAUACACGCCAACAUGAGGUCUUGGAGUAAAGCCACUCAUCCAUCCUGCAGUCUCUAAUGUUAUCAGCCACAUCGUUGAUCUUCUAUCUCUCUUUAUUUGAUUUCAGCACUGGGGAGAUUAUUUAUAAUUUAGGGAAGAGGAAGAAAAAGCAAUAUCAUUUAUAAGCCACCAACUUGAACAUACACAAAAUAAUUCAACAGUCAUUGCUACAAAGCAAACACACUGUUAAGGACCAGUGACACACAAAAGAGUAGAGCAGCAUUCCUGCCCUAAAGAGCCAUCAGCUACAGCUGUGACAGGCCCAGGAAUCGCAGUGAAGUGGAAGCUACCCUACGGGAUGCUGGGAGCACAGUGUGGGAGCAGGUCCACAGAGGUAGGGCAUCAGUGAGAGCAAGGAGGACGCAGGCAUCCCACGCAGAGAAGAGCCAUGUCCCAGAGCCAGGAGAAGGCGGCAAGGAGCAGUGAGGGGCUUGGUGCUGUCCAGGGACUAGUAGAGGAGAGAGAGGCCAGCCUGGGUGAGGAAGAAGCCCUUGUGCUCAUCCAAGAAACUGGAGAUGCAUUUUAAAAGCAAAGGAGUGACACUAAGGUAUACAAACAGAGACAAGUUUUAAAAGAUCUUUUUAGCAGAGAUAUGGAGGAUGAAUGUAUAGAGACAUAAGACAAGGGUCUGGAAGCACACUUGGGAGCCUGUCGACAACAAUACAAGCAAGAUGCAGGAAAGCUCUAGCAAAAUGGGGAGGGCACACAUUCAAGAGAUGCUCUGGGGGUUGGAUUAAUGUGCUGCUUUUUCCAAGAAAGAAUUUUUAUGUAAAUAGGCACGGGGUAGAGCAAGAUUUUUUUAAAAUUAGAAGUAGAAGGCAAAGAGAAAACAAGGGUAGGGACAUAAAUGGAGCCAGGAGUGAGAUUAGCACAUUAUGUUGUUUGUGUGUUUAUGUAUGUAGGUAUGUGUGUGUGCAUGUGUAUGCAUGCAUGUGUGUGUGUCUGUAUGUGUAUUUGUGUGUGUGUAUGCAUCUGUGUAUGUGUGCAUAAUGACAAGGAAGGGAUCACAGAUUUGGCUCUCAGCUCUCUAGCAGUCAACACCAACAGGGAAGAAUCCUUCACACACAUCACAAUGUUUAGAAGAUAAAAGUAAACCAGUUGUUCAGAAGAACAACUAUUGCUGAAUCUAAAGCCAAAACAAAUUUAUCUUGAGAGACCUCGCAGAGAGGAUAUGUAUAAAGUAAUGAUAUCCUCAGCAACAGUCUUAAUGCGAACAAAAUUAUUUCAAAGGAUGUUUCUCCCAAUCAUCUUUACUAUCCAACCAAACGGUAAACUGAAGAGAGUCAGCAUGGAGCAAUUGUGGCAGAAUUGGAAAUUAAAUACCACACGUUCAGAUGCUCUUGAUCUCAUCUUCUUCACAAGUUCUCUCCCAUCUAAGCAGUGGGGAUGGGGAAAACAUACAAACUGUCAAUUAAUGACAUAUUUUUUUAAAUAACAGUUUUAUUGAGAUAUAAUUUACCUAUCAUACAACUGACCUAUUGAAGAAGGCAUACAACUCAAUGGUUUUUCAUAUAUUCAGAGUUGUGCAAUCAUCACCACAAUCAAUCUGAGAACAUUUUUAUCCCUGAAACAAGAAACCCAUACCCAUAGCUGUCACUGCCUCCACCUUCCCCUCCCCCAUACCAAGGCAACCAAUUGUCUACUUCCUGUCUCUAUAAAUUGCCUAUUCUGGACAUUUCAUAUAAAUGGACUCACACAAUAUGUUUUCUGUAUGUGUGACUGGCUUCUUUGACUUCCUGCUUUCAAAGUUUUUCAGGCUGUAGUAUGUAUCAAUUCUUUAUUCCUAUUAUUGCUAAAUAAUACUCUGUUGUGACAAAGGGCAUUUUGGUCUCCUCUGGUUCCAACAGGCUCCCUGGGGUAACUGGGUCUUUCAGGCCAGGGUGCAGCUCUCCAGGUUUCCUCUUCGAGGCUUUGCACCUCCCAAGAAGGUGUUUAGGGAUGUGGGAGUGGGGGUGGUAUGGGACACCUCGCGGCCUCACAGUGCUUUUGGGUCAGUGCUGGCAGGUCUGAUUCCGAGCUCCGGACUCUCUGGUCCCAAGGCACCCAGCUGCCUUUCAUGGCAACCGUCUGCACUGCCCAUCACCCAUUCCGCUCAGAGAGCUCUCCAUUUGAACAGCCUGCCUUAACCCCUGUGGCCACGGCUGAUCCCUCGCUCCUGGCCCCUCUGAGCUCACUCACAUGGUCCAUUUUUGCACCCUGCUAACCCUGUGCCCCAUGGCGUGCAGGGGGUCCCAGAUCACCCCAUGUCCCGCAGGAGUGAGGACCGCUCAGGAGCAAUGCCGCCGUGCCGUCCCCUGCUAGCUCACAGCCAUCCAUGCAGCCGACCCCUGGGCUCUGAUGAGGCCUGCGCAGCCCCCACCCUCUGUGCUUUGCACGCCUCCCUGGGAGGCACUAGCAUCACUGUCCUCUGGGCUUCAGCCCCGUGGGAAGAAGGCAGGACUCGUGGGUCACAGGCCUCCUUUCUAUUUCAUUCCUCACUGGACCACAGAGUUGGGCCUUCUCUCCUCUCUUGGGGUUUGAGGACUUCCAUUAGGAUAUGGAUCCUGAAAUCUCUCUAGACUUGACUUACAGUAAAUUAAAUAUGCUUCUAUAGACCAAACUUUUUCCAUUCAUUCGUUGGCAGAGAUUUAGGUUGUCUCCAUGUCUUGACUAUUGCAAAUAAGGCAACGAACAUGGGACUGACGCUAUCUCUCAAGAUCCUCAUUUUCUCUGCAUGUACACCCAGUGGUGGGCUCUUACUCAGCGUUAAAAAGAAGGAGAUCCUGCCAUUGGCAACAACAUGGAAGAACCUGGAGGACAUUGUGCUAAGUGAAACAAGCCAGGCACAGAAAGACAAGCCCCACAUGACUUCAUGUACAUGUGAAAUCUUAAAAAGCCAAACUUAUAGAAACAGAGAAUAGAACGGUGGUUGCCAGGGCUGGAAGGAGGGGAAAUGGGGAGAUGUUGGUCAAGGAGUACAAAGUUUCAGUUACUGAAGAUGAAGAAGUUCUGGAGACUCAGUGCACAGCAUGGUGACUAUAGUUAAUAAUACUGUAUUAUAUACUUGGGAUUUACCAAGAGGGUACAUCUUACCUGCUCUCAUCAUAACAAACAAAAAAGAAAAGAAAAAAGACAAAAAUGGUAACUGUGAGCUAAGGAAUGUGUUAGUUUGAUUGUUGUGAUCAUUUCAGUGUGUGUGUGUGUGUGUGUGCGUGUGUAUAGAAAUGAAGUUGUAUACCUUAAAGAUACACAAUUUUAUUUGUCAAUUAUACCUCAAUAAAGCUAAAAAUUUCAAUAUUUAGCCCCAGCAACCCUGGCUUUUGAUAUGUUAUUGGUAUUUUAACAAAUUUAAGGAAAAAUUUCUUUGGAGACUAAUCUUUUUAGGAACUCAACAAUCCUAUUUUGGUAGUUAAAUUGUGAAUAUUGACCCCUUUUUCUCCAUUUUUCUGUUAUAAUAAUAGAACUUCCUUCCCAUCACCAGUUUGGAUAUAGAUGCUGUAGCUGGCUAAACUGGGAGAAAUUAUGUACAUGGAAAUAUGAAAAAGAAAAGCAAAUAUUAUAAUUUCUAUCACAAACUUCCUAGAGGUAGGAAAGGGGCAAAUCUGAAAAAUGGAAUCCUGAGGCUGUUUGUUCAGAUGCACGAGGGUGAAAGAUGAGUGAAAAAUGACUGACAGUUUCUGAUUUAGGUGAGUAGGUGGCUACCACAAACCAGGGUAGGAAUAGAAGAGGGUUGGAGAAAAAUACUGGUCUACACUGGGGCAUGUGGCUACAGGGCAAGGAGCCAUGGAAACUGAAGGAAACUUGGACUGGACAUCAGAGACCAUAGGAGCUGACCUGUAGAGCCCCUUGACUUUACCGGUUAGGUUCAAAAGCUAACCACCAAAUACUAGGGCUAGUGCUUCUUUCAGUGUGCUACCCUCCUCUCUUCUUUCUUCAUCAGUCCUGAGGCAAGCAGGCCCACGCUGCUAAUCCCAAGUUGACCCAGGAGUACACUAAGGCUUGGACAGUUUAGUUGAUCUACCCAAGAACACAGGAACACUCCUGACUUCCAGCCCAGUGUGGUUUCCAUUAGACAUUCUUGCCAUGGCAUGAAAACCACAAUGAGGUCAGGCAGAUAGCUCUGCAACCUGGAACUCUGAGUGAAAUCGGUUAUGACUGCAGCUGACAUACACGGCCCCAUACAGCCCAGCAAGGAAGGGGGCAAAGGUCACACCAAGUCAGGACAGAGGCUGUGCCUCUGCUGUGUUCAGGAAACCUUGAGACAAAUUUCUUCUCCAAUAACAACUCCCUGAUGUAAACUAACCAAAAGAAAGCAAACCCAAGUUUCUGCAUAUUUUAAUUGUUUUGUAUGAUUUUUGCUGGUCUUAGAGUGCUUGUGAGUCAGAAGCAAUUUCAGGAAAUGCUGCCCAUGUCACCAGCUGGAAUCCAGGCUCCUGUUCUGCAAGAGCUUUCAGAUGCAGGCACAUGUUUGAGCAUGCGUGCACACACACACACACACACACACACACACACACAAGCUCUCACACAUGCCUACACUCACAUUCACAAACUGGCACAUUCACAUACACUCACAGGCAUACACACACACGUAAACUCAUAUACACAUACAUUCCCACAUGCAGUGGCACACAAAUUCACAUACAUACACAUACUCACAUACUUAUACAAACACACAUGCUCAUAUAUACUCUCACAUAAUACACACAAACCCACAUACACACACCCAAUCAUACUCCCUCAUAUACACACAUACAUUCGCAUACAUACUCAUGCACUCACACAUACCCACACACGUGCACAUGCACACACGUGCAAACACACAGAGCCAAGACUUAGCUGUGGCCAAGUCUUCCUGACACUAAAUAUAAGCAUGAUAUGCUCGGUGCAAAAGGCACUUGUUGCAUGAGAAUUGAAACUGGAUCAAGUCCACUGAUUAUUUAGCUAUUUCCAAAUAUCUGCAUGUUUUGCUUUGUGGACAUCUGAAUAGUUGGCGGGGGCAAGCUUUUCUCUGUACCUCCUUCCCUCUGGGGAUGUGUGAAUCAGUUGUUCCUAACCAUCCCUUCCCACCAAGCCAUAGCAGUGGGAAGUGAGGUCAGUUAACUGUCUCCGUUGCAAAAGGUACACAUAAAAUUGCCGAUUUGAAGGACGGGGGACUGAAGGGACUUUGCAAAGUGACAGCUGCAGCCCCCUGUCUCAGCAGGGGCCAUCCUUCCGGAGGAAGAGAAGCCGACAGCCCUCCCUACUCCCUCCCCACUUUCUCAUAAGUCCUCAACAAAGGUCUGGAAGCCUUCACACCUUCUAGUCUUUCCACAGGGGUACAUCCCAGGCCACAUCACACUUCCACAGGGACUUUGGAUCUCUGCCGAAUCCAGGAGCCUAGGAUACAGUGAUGGCUCUCUGUCUAUGGGAACAAAAUUCUUUCUGUAAAAUGUGAUACAACAUAAUAAACAAAGGGUAUACAAAAGCAA